This 286-nucleotide ribosomal RNA is filed under the name uncultured bacterium. RNAcentral describes it as "partial 16S ribosomal RNA". It matches the Rfam family "Bacterial small subunit ribosomal RNA", at positions 773 to 1060 of the family's 1533-position model. The record is from RNAcentral.
GUGGAUUAGAUACCCGGGUAGUCCACACCGUAAACGUUGGGCGCUAGGUGUGGGAUCCAUUCCACGGGUUCCGUGCCGCAGCUAACGCAUUAAGCGCCCCGCCUGGGGAGUACGGCCGCAAGGCUAAAACUCAAAGGAAUUGACGGGGGCCCGCACAAGCGGCGGAGCAUGCGGAUUAAUUCGAUGCAACGCGAAGAACCUUACCUGGGUUUGACAUACACCGGAAAGCUGCAGAGAUGUAGCCCCUUUUAGUCGGUGUACAGGUGGUGCACGGUCGUCGACAACU